Non-coding RNA from Acanthosepion pharaonis, 102 nucleotides. Lineage: Eukaryota; Metazoa; Mollusca; Cephalopoda; Sepiida; Sepiidae. The record is from the annotation of a GenBank genome assembly.
CAGCCACAUCACGUUGAAACAACGCUUCCCAUACGAUCACCGAAGUUAAGCAACAUCGAGUUUGAUCAGUAUCUAGGUGGGUGACCCUUGGGGAUACCAGGA